AUCUAACUCUUGGAAAGAGCAAAUGAGCGUAUUUCCUAAAUGUCUACUUCUUUUUAAAUGACUUGAUGUGCUCACAGGGAAAAACACAAUCACUUUCUAGAGUCUGUUUACAUUUUAAAAAUAUUUGACAUGUUUUUAUUGCACAUUUCUAUUUAAUAUUUAAGCUGGGGUUUUGUCGGGAUGUUUCAUUUUUUAUUUAUUUUAUUGUAUUGACUCUUCUGUGAAGCAAACUAUGUAAAACCUUCAACAUGUUCUGACUGUGUAGCACUUUUCUGGAUGUUUGUCCUUAUCUUUAUCAUUUCAAAUAAAGUUUAAAAGGGGAACGUGAUGCUCAGUGUUGUAGUUUUCUCUUUCUGCUCUGAUUCUGUGUCUACUUUAUGAUUUACAGCGGUGAAGAAAGUUCAUAAAUCCUUUAUUGAAGUCAAAGUGUGAAAGGCUAAAUUAAAAACCCACCAAGGUGUUCUGCAUCAAACAUUUCAGCAAUAACAUCACGUGAUCACGGUCAUUAGUACUCCAUCCAGUCUGAGGUUACAUGUUAAUGUACUGCUCUGUACUGUAAACUAGUCUCAGAGU
Molecule: long non-coding RNA, 573 nt
Organism: Sander lucioperca (pikeperch)
Lineage: Eukaryota; Metazoa; Chordata; Actinopteri; Perciformes; Percidae
Exons: 2
Source: RefSeq, a predicted model, not a curated record